UGUUAUCAUGGGGCGUCGUGGCGCGGUAGCACGGAGGGUGCGUGGGUUGUCCUGAAUCACGGGGCGUAAAGGGGGCGUAGGCGGCGCAUUAAGUGGCUGGUGAAAUCCCGGGGCUCAACGCCGGGGCGGCCGGUCAGACUGGUUGGCUCGGGCACGGUAGAGGCGGAUGGAAUUCCCGGUGUAGCGGUGGAAUGCGUAGAGAUCGGGAAGAAUACCGGUGGCGAAGGCGUUCCGCUGGGCCGUUGCUGACGCUGAGGCGCGACAGCGUGGGGAGCAAACAGGAUUAGAUACCCUAGUAGUC
Molecule: ribosomal RNA, 301 nt
Filed under: uncultured Psychroserpens sp.
Lineage: Bacteria; Pseudomonadati; Bacteroidota; Flavobacteriia; Flavobacteriales; Flavobacteriaceae
Description: bacterial SSU rRNA
Rfam family: Bacterial small subunit ribosomal RNA (bases 54-301)
Source: RNAcentral